RNAcentral lists this ribosomal RNA (460 nucleotides) under uncultured bacterium. RNAcentral describes it as "partial 16S ribosomal RNA". It matches the Rfam family "Bacterial small subunit ribosomal RNA", at positions 338 to 795 of the family's 1533-position model. The record is from RNAcentral.
CCUACGGGCGGCAGCAGUGAGGAAUAUUGGUCAAUGGACGAGAGUCUGAACCAGCCAAGUAGCGUGAAGGAUGACUGCCAUAUGGGUUGUAAACUUCUUUUAUAAAGGAAUAAAACGAGGCACGUGUGCCUUUUUGUAUGUACUUUAUGAAUAAGGAUCGGCUAACUCCGUGCCAGCAGCCGCGGUAAUACGGAGGAUCCGAGCGUUAUCCGGAUUUAUUGGGUUUAAAGGGAGCGUAGAUGGGUUGUUAAGUCAGUUGUGAAAGUUUGCGGCUCAACCGUAAAAUUGCAAUUGAUACUGGCAGUCUUGAGUACAGUUGAGGUAGGCGGAAUUCGUGGUGUAGCGGUGAAAUGCUUAGAUAUCACGAAGAACCCCGAUUGCGAAGGCAGCUUACUAAACUGUGACUGACAUUGAUGCUCGAAAGUGUGGGUAUCAAACAGGAUUAGAUACCCGAGUAGUC